This 4467-nucleotide unclassified non-coding RNA is filed under the name Leishmania donovani. Its description in RNAcentral is "gene:LdHU3.14.1590(CDS-product:ras-like_small_GTP ases_putative)". Lineage: Eukaryota; Euglenozoa; Kinetoplastea; Trypanosomatida; Trypanosomatidae. The record is from RNAcentral.
GUGCUCCCGUCUCCACACCUCACACACACACACACCCUCGCCACUCUCCUUCCUAUCUUCACACACACACACACACAUGCACUGCCACCAUUACCACCACUCCUUGGUGACAGUGGGAUGAUUUGGGCUUGUGUGCAUGUGUGCGGCGAAUCACCGUGCUGUUUUUCUUCUGCCACCCGCACAUGUGCGCACACGCGCAUCUUGACACCUCUUUGUGUACGCGUCUGCAACGCCAUUACGCUUCGCGGUAAAGGGCCGCGAGAAAGGAAGUAACACUAAUAAAGAACGCCACCCGGCGCACGACCGCAUCCUUUAAGGCGCGGCCUCUCUCUUUAUCUCGCUGUCUACUCUCGCCCCCACGUGUCCUUGCUCAGCCAUUCCAGUCGGACAUCCCUCCAUUGCCACCGCCCCCCCCUCUCGCUACUUCCAUUCACUCACGAUAACCUCCCUCUCCUUCUCUUGCGCGCCGUCUUUGAGGGGGAGCGCCGUGCCUGCUCAAUAAUAGCCGAUUCGACUCGUUGUGGUUUCAUACACUGAUCUCUCCCCCCGUGCUGGACGACGCUACCCUUGACGCGCUCUCCUUUUCUGCACGCGUGUCUGCCGCUUUUGGAUGUGCAUUCGCCUAAGUGCUUCCCUCCCCCAAUCCGUCUCUCGCGUCUGCCCUCUUAUCUCUGGGUGCAUGUGCGCGCUUUACGCUGGCGCACGUGCUGUGACGGCUUCUGUUCAGUUUUUUCGGCGACAUCACGCACCAGACACAAACCCCCACCCCCGAAAGGAAGAAGGGAAACGGCUGCGCUUCGAACGAAGCGGGCACGUCUCACGCGUCCAUCUCUGUCCUUCGUCUGUCGCGUUUCGACGCUGGCUGGUGUCUGAGUGCGGGCGCCCAUCCAGGGCACACUUCAACUUGCUUUACAGCACCUGCCUUGGUCCGCGGCCGAGGCAACGAAAGGGCUGUUUCUCCUUGUUGCCACGACGGGUGAACGUCCGCGCGCAAUGCACAGCGGCACGACGGAGAAGGAAAUGCCGUCGCCAUGCCCGAACCACAUACACGAACGACGGGCCUGCGGGCCUCCUGUGUUGCAUGUGAACGUGCUUUACGGGCUGUCGAACGAGGAGACCGCCUCAAACUCGUUUCCGGCCUCCUUCGGUCGGACAACAUCAAGUGGGGUCGGCGCCCUCAACCGCGCCGGUCCUGUGAGCAGCCUGCCAGCGUCUGCGGCUGCGUCCGCCUCUCGGCGGGCACCAGAUGGCUCGUUGUCGCCGAUGUGCUCGGCCCUCAGCUUGAGCGCGAUGAGCGGCAGUGGUGCGGUGCAAUCCUCCACCUUGGCGAAGCCCGUCCUGGAUUUGUCGCAGGUACGCUGCAUCCCACUCGACCAGUGGGUACCGGAUGCACACGUGGUGAACUGCAUGGCACCGGGCUGCAGCAACAGCUUUUCUCUCUUUAACCGCAAGCAUCACUGCCGUAUGUGCGGGCGCGUCUUCUGCUCCUCGUGCUGCAACAACCUCGUGUACAUACCGGCCGCCGUUGUGAACAAGGCGAAUAGCUCGACCGAGGGUACGGCGGCGGGCAGCUAUUCGGCAACCGCCAACACGUCCGUGAGCUCCGUUGUUACUCCCGAGCCGCAGCAGUUUAACCGCGCGUGUGCGAACGACGGCAGUGCGUCGCCAAACGGGAUGCGGCGAGGACCACAGGCCCCCGCAGCGCAGGGACUCGAUGUGUCCCCUGCGUCCAGCGCUACACUGUUCCCCGGCCCUCUGCCUGUCUGCAGCGAUGGAAACGGUCACCUACCGUCUAACGCGCUCACCUCCCCGUCGGCGGUGACGGCGCUGCCGUCAUCACUGUCUCCGUCCACCCAAGCCGCGGUGCCAUGCCGUGUGUGUGCCAGCUGCUCCUACGAGGUCCAGCUGGUGGUGUCUACUCGGCAAGAAAACGGCGAGCCGCGCCGCCGCAGCCGCGGUGAGCUCAAGAUGAUCCAGCGCGUCCUCCUCGUCAACGUCAUGAGCUUCCUGACGCUGCGCGACUUGGCGAAUGUGUCGCUUGUCUCGGCGGACUUCUACUUCAUGUCCCGAGACAACAUCAUCUGGUACCAGUACAAUAUGACGCGGUGGGUUCAGGAGGCCGAGCUGCCGCGACUGUCGUCGCUCAACUCGCGUGCUGCGGCGUCUCGAAUGCAGCAGCAGCGAGGGCCCAGCUGGUACACCUAUUCCUCGGGCAGUGGGGCCCGCAGCUCCUUGAUAGACGACAUGUUCUCGAGUGCGCCGGUGAUUCAAGAUGCCACCACGCUCUCGGAGAGCGAGGCGGCUAAGCGCGUCAUCUCGUUGCAUGCGCGGUACAACUACACCCAGUUCCUUGACUUUGCGCGACGGCAGGAGAUGGCACGGUGUGAAGGACUGUCGUCUUUCUCGCUCGGUGCUCGCCUCUUGCUGUCGAGCCCUAUUCGCGUGGCGCUUGUGGGGCCGUGCGGUAUCGGCAAGACAGCCAGCGCUCACGCCUUCCUUGGCGAGAAGCCUUCACAGAUGGUGGUGCGGCCGACCAUUGGGUUUGAGCGGCGUGCCGUGACAGUGCGGCUGGCCCGCGGCCUCUUCGCGGAGGCCGUGCUGCACAUCUACGACCUCAGCGGCGCCGACCGCUACGGGGAGCUGCGCCGCUUCGUGUGUCGGCACUGCCAUGCGAUUGGUCUCUGCUAUGACCCGUCCCGAAAAGUGACGCUGGUGCAGGCGGCAGAUAUUAUGAUGGGGCUCGAGAGCGCUCUGGGCCCGCAGCCGGUAGUGAUCUGCGGACUGAUGCGACAGCCACAUUAUACCUCGAGCUCGAGCAGCGCACCCCUUCAUCACCACAGGGCAGGCCCCGCUCGCCUUCCCGCUGUGGUGUCUGCAGCAACUGCGUUGAACCUCUCAGCGCCCCCGAAGAAGGAGGACGAAUGCUCUCACUCGAUGCUGGUCGGCUCUGCUGAGGCUGAGGCUGCGGGUGGCGUUGCAGGCGAGUCGACGGGUGCCGCGCCAAUGUGCGGCGCUGCCAACGGUUGUAACACGCCACCUCAAGCCAGCAGCAGCCCUGCAGGUACCGCGGUCACGUUGCCCGGCGUUGUUGCAGAGAAUGGUGGUCACGAGAGCUGUGACGGACUGCAUGAUGACGCCGCGGUAUCGCCGAUUCCAUCACCUACGCCGCCGCCGUUCACCAUCGCCUCUCCGCAGAGUAGCGUGCUCGAAGUGUCGGUCGAGGACGCGGUGGGCAUUACCGUUCGAGGCCACUCAUCCAUCCAUUGUCCGCUGCUGCACCCCACCCCGUUGUUCGAGGCUCUUGUGCAGUCUGUGCUGGACCUUUUAGUGGAGGCGACGGUGGCCAGCACGAGCACCAUAUCGGAGAUCAGCGCGGGGCUCACGACGCAUGGCGGCGGCAGCGGCCCGCAAAGCUUUCCGACGUGUUGUCCGAGCUCUCUGAGCGCUGGCAGUGCGCCAGCGAGCGCGAUGCGAGUCGCUUCUACGCGCCGCCGUCCGCACGCAUCGCGGGCAAUUAUGGAGGACCUGCUGAACCUGACGAUGCAGCCCUGUGCACUGGACAUCUUGCUGGAUCGAAAGUAGACGGGCGCCGCGGAGAGUACCGCCGCAGACACGGGUCCUGCUCUGUUUCUCCUGCGCUUGCCGUUGGGUGCUGCAGAUGUAAAGAAUGCGCUCCUCGACAAGAGCGUGUUGCGCCUCACGUCGAGAAACAGUGCACUGCUCUAUCGAGGCUUGUGUGGUGAUGCUGUGCUCACGCUCACGCCUGCGAUUGCCUCGCUACUCUUUUGCCCCUUUUGCUCUCUGCGUCGGAUGUUGCGUGUAGGUCUGUGUGUCCGUACGUCGGCGCUUCGCCGUCCGCCUUUUCUGAUUUGGCGCAACUGGGCGGUAAUGGAGUGCUACGCUGCUGUCUCUCCUCUCUUGCCGUGCUCGUCUCUCGGCGUCUUGGUGCUCGCUGGGGUUUCUUCUGCUGCUGCUGCUGCUGCUCACUGUCCUGUGUGCGCUCACCCCUCUCACAUGUUCGGAUGUGCUUAUAGGCGUCUCUUGUCCCGGCUCAAGCAUCGAAGCGCUGCCGCAGCGUCUCCUGCCUCCUGCCUCUUCGCGUCCGAUCUUAAUACACCGUCACCUCAAACGUGCGCACCGACGCGCGACUAUUAGCGGGCGCUGCCCGCACCCACGAGACGCGGAAACACACUGCACUAUGCGGGUGCUUGUGAAGGACUCGGCCACCCUUAACGAAAGCAUGUCCUGUGCCCAUGAAAAGCUCCACGCUGCUCGCUCAUGGCGUCUGCCUGUGUGGGGUGAGACGGACGCGCAUCGCCUCAGUUCCUCCUUCGCCCUCGCUCUGUCUGCACCGCCAGCCUUGCGUGCCUGCCGCCAUGUCCAUGAAUGCCCUCGCUUUUUGUCUUGCGUUCUGCGGCACGUUGCCUAUCUCCCCCCCUCUUCACCUCUUCGUCUUUUCGCGCACAG